AUGAGCAGCAGGAGCACACUACAGAUGUUGAUUGACAAAACUUGCUGGAAAGACAAGAAUCUGCCAAAGUCAAAGAAAAAUGAUGAAGCGGAGUCUCAGGGCAGCAUUGACAUGUUCAAGCUGUGCAACAUGAAGCCAGCUUUGCCAACCACCUUCCCUGUGCCAGAUUUCCACGAGCGAGAGUUGUGUGACAAGAUUGAUUUUGCUGUUGACCACAAUCUGUUCUUCUUGAGUGAGGCUGAAAAGAAUCCAGUUGACAUGGAGGAAGCAGGGAAGGGUCUUAAUUGGGUUCAUUCGAAGGAUAAAUACAAGGAAUAUUUGAAGCAUCUUCCAGAUAUCAGCUCCAGCAAGAGCAAGGCAACAUCUGUGGCAAACCCUCAUGUGGUCCAGAAGAGCAAAGGAGUUACAAUGAAGAAGAAUCUAAAGUUGCCUCAAACCAAGCAACAGAUGUCGAGGGUAGAUGUAGAAAUAAAUGUGGACAAGGAAGCUGUGGCGCAAACUGUUGUGCCAAUUGUAGUGAUCAGAGAGCCAACCACCACUGAAGAUGUGUCAGCAAUACCUGUUGAGCCUACAACCAUCACAGGAGUUCAACAGAUCAAGGGGAAGAUUCCUCUGUCAACAGCCCCACAUAAACCAGCUAAGCAACAAAAGAUUGUCAAGUUUGCCAAGUGCAUAAAGGAGGAACAGGGCAGGGAAGGUGUGGGGUCCAGACACGAGACAGAACAACGUGCCACAGCCAACGCUGCAGGACUGCCAAGUUCUGCUAGUUUGGUGCCAACUCAGGCUGCAAAGGUGCCAACUGCAGAUACCAGUAUGCCAACUGAAGUGGUCACAGUCAAAACUAGCAGAGUUGUUCAGGAAGACUCAACUGCAACCGCAAGCCCCAAGCAGCACAAACAGGGGAAGCAAUUGUGGUUGUCAUAG
Molecule: ribosomal RNA, 924 nt
Filed under: Triticum aestivum (bread wheat)
Lineage: Eukaryota; Viridiplantae; Streptophyta; Magnoliopsida; Poales; Poaceae
Description: partial small subunit ribosomal RNA
Source: RNAcentral